Molecule: ribosomal RNA, 401 nt
Filed under: uncultured Chloroflexota bacterium
Lineage: Bacteria; Bacillati; Chloroflexota
Description: bacterial SSU rRNA
Rfam family: Bacterial small subunit ribosomal RNA
Source: RNAcentral
CACCCAGGUUUGACAUGCAUGUGGUACCAAGGUGAAAGACUGAGGGACCCUUCCGGGGAGCAUGCACAGGUGUUGCACGGCCGUCGUCAGCUCGUGCCGUGAGGUGUUGGGUUAAGUCCCGCAACGAGCGCAACCCCUGUCGCCAGUUGUAUUUUUCUGGCGAGACUGCCGAGAAAACCUCGGAGGAAGGAGGGGACGAUGUCAGGUCAGCGUGGCCCUUACGCCUGGGGCUACACACACGCUACAAUGGGCAGUACAACGGGUCGCGAAGCCGCGAGGUGGAGCUAAUCCCAUCAAAGCUGUCCUCAGUUCGGAUUGCAGGCUGAAACCCGCCUGCAUGAAGCCGGAGUUGCUAGUAACCGCAGGUCAGCAUUACUGCGGUGAAUACGUUCCCGGGCCUU